Myxocyprinus asiaticus (Chinese sucker) is the source of this 3243-nucleotide RNA transcript. RefSeq lists it as uncharacterized. The transcript has 6 exons. The record is from RefSeq and is a predicted model, not a curated record. NCBI's taxonomy places the organism in Eukaryota, Metazoa, Chordata, Actinopteri, Cypriniformes, Catostomidae.
GCCAUUUUAGUGCGUCGCACUUGGAGAAGGCGACAGGGCUCGCGGUGGUGCUUCGGCGUAGUCUUUGCUUCGUUCAAUGUCAAACCUUUUCUUUCCGGUGUUAACCCAGUUUUCUCGUCCUUUUCCCACCAUCUUUGAGACCAGCUGUCGUCGCACGCCUGCAGUGUACACUUUAAGAUACUUCCUUAAGGUAUACAGGUUUAAGGCAGCUACUUACCAAGAAUAAGGAGGUGGCCAUGAUCACCAGAAAAAGAGGAAGAACCAGCCUCGAUGCUAAUGUCACAUGUACAAGUGCCUCCCAGGAGAGUAACGUUGCUUUGAAAACCUGUAAUGCAAGUGAUACAAGCAUGCACACUUCUCCAGAAAGUGACACAAAUGAUUGGGGCCUGGAUGAGGUGUUUGGCUCUGAAUUCAAUUGGGAACUGAACAACAACGUGCUUGAUUCUUUCAGCACCUUUGAAAUGCAGACAUCGACCAACGAUGACACACAUCAGAGCCUGGUGACAGAUGUUUCUUCAUCCUGCAAUGUCCCGAGAUCAAAACUGCAAGAUGUUUCCGGUCGAAUCGUCAAUAAGAACGCCAUGGCAGCAAGGAUGAACCGUUUGAAGAAGAAAGAGUACGUCAGUGGCUUGGAGCAGAGAGUCGGCUCUUUGACGUCAGAGAACCGGAUUCUCAAGCAGGAAAAUGGAAACCUCAAUAAGAGAGUGGAAGAACUGGAGAAUGAAACUAGGUACUUGAGAGCCGUGUUGGCUAAUGAGAGCAUGCUGGCACAGCUGUUGUCUAAAUUGAGCGGUGUGAAUGGCAUGAAAUUUUCUACCUCGCUUUUCCAGGCGUCCAACGAGAAUGACCAUGAUUAUGCCAUGCCGAGGAAGAGGGUGAAGUUGGAAGACAAAGAUGCAGCGGGUGGCAUCUGCCUGCAUGUGGACAAAGACCAUGUCUCUGUGGAAUUCUGCACCAAGUGUGCGGAGAGUUCAAGCUUGUCGCAUAAAAUUUUUCUUCUAGGUGCUUGGUCUGCCAUGCUGGAUGAGUGCGUCACAGAACGUCCUCGAUUGCCGAAAUCCAUGUGGAUUUUGCUGUGGGGUGAAGCAGAAGAGUCGGGACCAGCAGCUUGCAUCAUGGCCCUGGUAAAUGUAAAAAGGUAGUACAUGAGUACAGCACUUUCUUCGCUCUCUACAAGAGCCUUAUCUUUCCUCUUCAAAGUGGAUAAAGAGUGGUGAGCUGGGCGAUAGGACAAUGUAAUCGAAUGUCGAUGAUGUCUUACAAAGAUGCCUAUUGCGAAAAUAUGAUGAUCGACAGUAUCGGGAAAUGGCAAAACCAUGGAUCUGGGAAGUUGCCAAAUAUGUUAAACAGUGGCCAGGGUGUGAAACUAGCACCCGCCAAAUGCAGCGAUGCUGAAUCCAGUUCGAAAGCUCCUCAUUCAAAUGUAUUUCAUGCGCCGAUAAUUUUGCUCAUCUACCCGCAACAGGCAGGCGACCUGUAAGACGUCUCUUGAGUGACACAUGACAAGAAAUGAUGUUAUUCACAAAGACGCACGCUUGAAGAAACACUUUAUUAUAUUUUUUAAAAACCAACUAAAGAAAAGCCGUCACUGUGUCUGAUUCGCUGUUUGUUCAGAGGUGUGCAGCACGAGUCAGUCUCGUUGAACAAGUGCAUGUAAAGAGUUCACUUUUUUUUUCUCUCUCUUUCAUAUGUCUGAAAACGACAAGAAUAAUGUCGUCUGAGAAUGCUGCAAAUUAUCUCCGAUCUUCUCAGGAGGUGCUGUUAGUUUAGUUCGCGUUAUUUCAACUCGGUUUGCAUGCAUUGUGAAUGCAACACUACAGGUUCAGAAAUAUGUUUUUGUAUUAAACAAAGAUGAAAGUUAUUAAAUCAGAGUAAUGCAAGACAUGUUCACCUUGAACCUAAAAUUGAGUUUUGUUUUAUUUUAGGCAUUAAUAACUGUAUUACCAAAAUGCAAUAAACACUAAUUCGAUAAGAAUACACAUUUGGCAGCAUUAUUUUGGGAACACAAGGGAAUUGAUUAGGCUUAUUUUGAUAAUUUUUUCUACAUUUAUAAUUGUCUUUAGUUCUUAGGCUGUAGGCUAUUAGUAGUUUUCCAUCUGUGUUGAUGGAUGCUGCGUGAUGGCAAAUGUUUGGAUUUGGGGAGGUGGUUAAAUGAGUUUUUUGAUCACUUUUAUUGCUGCUUUUUUUUCCGUUUAGUUUAAAGUGCAAUUUGAAUGUAGAUAUGUCUUGUUUGUUUUUCAUGUUUCAAUAAAUGAAUUAAAAUUUUAAAGCAAAAUGGGGUUGAUGUAAUUGGAUAUUGCAGUAUUUUUAAGGCAAUUAUCGCAAAAGUAUUUUUUACAUAUCGCCCAACCCUAACGCGCGCACAUAAAAUAGUUGGUUAAUUGGCAUUCCUUAAAUUUAAUUUUUUUAAAUAAUAUUUGUAAUGUCCAUUCUGUUUACACUACUUGGAAUCACUGUUACAUUUGUAUGUUUUUAAAGAAAAUUGUAAUGUCAUUCUCCAACGAUGCUUUAAAUAGAUAAUUACAAAGUAUUAAUUAAAAGCUGGUCAAACUUUGUUCAUCCAAGAAUCCUCCAUGUGCACCAAUGACACCUCAGGUUUACCAUCCUUUUUUUUUUUUUUUGUCAGUUACUUUUUCUUUGCAAUGUUGGCCUUUUAGAGUUUCAAAUUCUUCUCUUAAAUCUAGUAGAUACUGAUGUUUGACAUGUACUGGUCAUUGAAGCUGCUAGUUUAGGGUCUGUUUCUUAGAUUAGAGACUCUGAUGGGCUUGCCCUUUUGAUGUAACGCUUCUGAGCUCUCAAAUUCCACAAACCUGGUCAUACCCAGUUUUCAUUUUUAUUUAACUGAAUAGCCUUGAACUCUCAAAAGAACAAUGGACUGCAUUUUUUUGAGAAAUUGUGGCUUUUUGGCUAAUUGCAUAAAGUGUACACAAUACCUCAACAACUUAAAAAUGACACUAUUGGGAUUUCCACACUUCAUUAAGCAACAACCAUUUUGAGCAAAAACACAUUUCUUUCCUGAGGAUCAAAUUAGCGCAUUAAAAUAAUUUAAGGAUUAGGUGAGAGUAUUUUCUUAGCAGACAGGAGUAAUAACUGCUGAAAUUUGGGGCUUUGCUAUCAUGGGUAACAAUUUAAUUGUUUCAACAUUGUUAAUGUUGCAGUAUUUUGAUCAUUUUAAUAGAUCCUUGAUGAACCAAAGCAUCAAUUUCUCUCGAUAACAAAAAUGUCUUGGUCAUACCAAACUGC